Molecule: transfer RNA, 73 nt
Filed under: Trachymyrmex septentrionalis
Lineage: Eukaryota; Metazoa; Arthropoda; Insecta; Hymenoptera; Formicidae
Rfam family: tRNA
About the family: Transfer RNA (tRNA) molecules are approximately 80 nucleotides in length.
Source: Rfam by way of RNAcentral
CUCUCGGUAGUCUAAUGGCUUAGGACGCUCGUACGGAAUACGAGAGAUCCAGGUUCAAGUCCUGGCCAAGGUG